UNGGAAUUACUGGGCGUAAAGCGGGCGCAGACGGUUACUUAAGCAGGAUGUGAANUCCCCGGGCUCAACCUGGGAACUGCGUUCUGAACUGGGUGACUAGAGUGUGUCAGAGGGAGGUAGAAUUNCACGUGUAGCAGUGAAAUGCGUAGAGAUGUGGAGGAAUACCGAUGGCGAAGGCAGCNUCCUGGGAUAACACUGACGUUCAUGCCCGAAAGCGUGGGUAGCAAACAGGAUUAGAUACCCUGGUAGUCCACGCCCUAAACGAUGUCGAUUAGCUGUUGGGCAGCAUGACUGCUUAGUAGCGAAGCUAACGCGUGAAAUCGACCGCCUGGGGAGUACGGUCGCAAGAUUAAAACUCAAAGGAAUUGACGGGGACCCGCACAAGCGGUGGAUGAUGUGGAUUAAUUCGAUGCAACGCGAAGAACCUUACCUGGUCUUGACAUGUACGGAACCCUCCAGAGACGGAGGAGUGCCUUCGGGAGCCGUAACACAGGUGCUGCAUGGCUGUCGUCAGCUCGUGUCGUGAGAUGUUGGGUUAAGUCCCGCAACGAGCGCAACCCUUGUCAUUAGUUGCCAUCAUUAAGUUGGGCACUCUAAUGAGACUGCCGGUGACAAGCCGGAGGAAGGUGGGGAUGACGUCAAGUCCUCAUGGCCCUUAUGACCAGGGCUUCACACGUCAUACAAUGGUCGGUACAGAGGGUAGCCAAGCCGCGAGGCGGAGCCAAUCUCACAAAACUGAUCGUAGUCCGGAUUGCACUCUGCAACUCGAGUGCAUGAAGUCGGAAUCGCUAGUAAUCGCAGGUCAGCAUACUGCGGUGAAUACGUUCCCGGGUCUUGUACACACCGCCCGUCACACCAUGGGAGUGGGGGAUACCAGAAGUAGGUAGGGUA
Molecule: ribosomal RNA, 891 nt
Filed under: uncultured bacterium
Lineage: Bacteria
Description: bacterial SSU rRNA
Rfam family: Bacterial small subunit ribosomal RNA
Source: RNAcentral